Molecule: ribosomal RNA, 459 nt
Filed under: uncultured bacterium
Lineage: Bacteria
Description: partial 16S ribosomal RNA
Rfam family: Bacterial small subunit ribosomal RNA
Source: RNAcentral
CCUACCGGUGGCAGCAGUGAGGAAUAUUGGUCAAUGGCCGGAAGGCUGAACCAGCCAUGCCGCGUGAAGGUCAGUGCCCUAUGGGCGUUAAACUUCUUUUGUGCGGGAGCAAUAAUGGUCACGUGUGGCCAGACGAGAGUACCGUACGAAUAAGCAUCGGCUAACUCCGUGCCAGCAGCCGCGGUAAUACGGGGGAUGCAAGCGUUAUCCGGAUUUAUUGGGUUUAAAGGGUGCGUAGGCUGUGAGGUAAGUCAGCGGUGAAAGUUUGCGGCUCAACCGUAAAAUUGCAAUUGAUACUGGCAGCCUUGAGUACAGUUGAGGUAGGCGGAAUUCGUGGUGUAGCGGUGAAAUGCUUAGAUAUCACGAAGAACUCCGAUUGCGAAGGCAGCCUACUAAACUGCCACUGACAUUGAUGCUCGAAAGUGUGGGUAUCAAACAGGAUUAGAUACCCCAGUAGUC